RNAcentral lists this long non-coding RNA (260 nucleotides) under Hordeum vulgare. RNAcentral describes it as "long non-coding RNA (HVUL_LNC021278)". Lineage: Eukaryota; Viridiplantae; Streptophyta; Magnoliopsida; Poales; Poaceae. The record is from RNAcentral.
AAGGAACCACACUUUUAUAGAGGAGAAAUGUAAGUUUAGGAUACCGUGCGGUUUGCUCCUCUAGAUUAUAAGGUAUCGGUUAGGGAUGCUCUAAGUAGAAGUUGUUGAGUGGAAACAAUAUAAUUCAGUUUUGCCAUUUGGUACUAUGUGCAGCUAGCUGGCAGAAACUUUAGAACUUCGCAAAUAUGUGUUUUCACCCUUAAAAAGAAGAUACUGAUUUCUAGUAUUUGAUUUAGCAUAUUGCAAAUGUUUUGAUUAAC